AAAUUGAAGAGUUUGAUCAUGGCUCAGAUUGAACGCUGGCGGCAGGCCUAACACAUGCAAGUCGAACGGUAGCACAGAGAGCUUGCUCUCGGGUGACGAGUGGCGGACGGGUGAGUAAUGUCUGGGAAACUGCCCGAUGGAGGGGGAUAACUACUGGAAACGGUAGCUAAUACCGCAUAACGUCGCAAGACCAAAGUGGGGGACCUUCGGGCCUCACACCAUCGGAUGUGCCCAGAUGGGAUUAGCUAGUAGGUGGGGUAACGGCUCACCUAGGCGACGAUCCCUAGCUGGUCUGAGAGGAUGACCAGCCACACUGGAACUGAGACACGGUCCAGACUCCUACGGGAGGCAGCAGUGGGGAAUAUUGCACAAUGGGCGCAAGCCUGAUGCAGCCAUGCCGCGUGUAUGAAGAAGGCCUUCGGGUUGUAAAGUACUUUCAGCGAGGAGGAAGGCGUUGUGGUUAAUAACCACAGCGAUUGACGUUACUCGCAGAAGAAGCACCGGCUAACUCCGUGCCAGCAGCCGCGGUAAUACGGAGGGUGCAAGCGUUAAUCGGAAUUACUGGGCGUAAAGCGCACGCAGGCGGUUUGUUAAGUCAGAUGUGAAAUCCCCGGGCUCAACCUGGGAACUGCAUUUGAAACUGGCAAGCUUGAGUCUCGUA
Molecule: ribosomal RNA, 661 nt
Filed under: Salmonella enterica subsp. enterica serovar Kentucky
Lineage: Bacteria; Pseudomonadati; Pseudomonadota; Gammaproteobacteria; Enterobacterales; Enterobacteriaceae
Description: bacterial SSU rRNA
Rfam family: Bacterial small subunit ribosomal RNA
Source: RNAcentral